This 495-nucleotide ribosomal RNA is filed under the name Cyphocharax gouldingi. RNAcentral describes it as "partial 16S ribosomal RNA". It matches the Rfam family "Bacterial large subunit ribosomal RNA", at positions 1812 to 2606 of the family's 2925-position model. Lineage: Eukaryota; Metazoa; Chordata; Actinopteri; Characiformes; Curimatidae. The record is from RNAcentral.
AACAUCGCCUCCUGCAAAAAUCAAUGUAUAGGAGGUCCUGCCUGCCCAGUGACAACUUGUUAAACGGCCGCGGUAUUUUGACCGUGCUAAGGUAGCGCAAUCACUUGUCUUUUAAAUGAAGACCUGUAUGAAUGGUGGAACGAGGGCUUAACUGUCUCCCUUCUCCCGUCAAUGAAAUUGAUCUGCCCGUGCAGAAGCGGGCAUAUAAAUACAAGACGAGAAGACCCUUUGGAGCUUAUUGGGGCGACCGCGGGGGAAAACAAAGCCCCCACGUAAAACUGAGAGAGACAUCUCUAAGCCACAGAAUAUCUGACCAAAAGAUCCGGCCUACAAGCCGAUCAACGAACCAAGUUACCCUAGGGAUAACAGCGCAAUCCUUUCCAAGAGUUCAUAUCGACGAAAGGGUUUACGACCUCGAUGUUGGAUCAGGACAUCCUAAUGGUGCAGCCGCUAUUAAGGGUUCGUUUGUUCAACGAUUAAAGUCCUACGUGAUCU